GACGAACGCUGGCGGCGUGCUUAACACAUGCAAGUCGAACGGAAAGGCCCUGCUUUUGUGGGGUGCUCGAGUGGCGAACGGGUGAGUAACACGUGAGUAACCUGCCCUUGACUUUGGGAUAACUUCAGGAAACUGGGGCUAAUACCGGAUAGGAGCUCCUGCUGCAUGGUGGGGGUUGGAAAGUUUCGGCGGUUGGGGAUGGACUGGCGGCUUAUCAGCUUGUUGGUGGGGUAGUGGCUUACCAAGGCUUUGACGGGUAGCCGGCCUGAGAGGGUGACCGGCCACAUUGGGACUGAGAUACGGCCCAGACGCCUACGGGAGGCAGAAGUGGGGAAUAUUGCACAAUGGGCGGAAGCCUGAUGCGGCAACGCCGGGUGCGGGAUGACGGCCUUCGGGUUGUAAACCGCUUUCGCCUGUGACGAAGCGUGAGUGACGGUAAUGGGUAAAGAAGCACCGGCUAACUACGUG
This 468-nucleotide ribosomal RNA is filed under the name uncultured bacterium. RNAcentral describes it as "partial 16S ribosomal RNA". It matches the Rfam family "Bacterial small subunit ribosomal RNA", at positions 28 to 507 of the family's 1533-position model. The record is from RNAcentral.